Molecule: ribosomal RNA, 501 nt
Filed under: uncultured bacterium
Lineage: Bacteria
Description: partial 16S ribosomal RNA
Rfam family: Bacterial small subunit ribosomal RNA
Source: RNAcentral
ACUCAAAUGAAUAGACGGGGGCCCGCACAAGCGGUGGAGCAUGUGGUUCAAUUCGAAGCAACGCGCAGAACCUUACCAGCCCUAGACCGUCUGGUUGCGGAGAGCAGAGAUGCACUCUUUCAGUUCGGCUGGACCAGAUUCAGGUGCUGCAUGGCUGUCGUCAGCUCGUGUCGUGAGAUGUUGGGUUAAGUCCCGCAACGAGCGCAACCCUCGCCCUUAGUUGCCAUCAUUCAGUUGGGCACUCUAAGGGGACUGCCGGUGAUAAGCCGCGAGGAAGGUGGGGAUGACGUCAAGUCCUCAUGGCCCUUACGGGCUGGGCUACACACGUGCUACAAUGGCGGUGACAGUGGGACGCAAUGGGGUAACCCUGCGCAAAUCUCAAAAAGCCGUCUCAGUUCGGAUUGUGCUCUGCAACUCGAGCACAUGAAGUUGGAAUCGCUAGUAAUCGCAGAUCAGCACGCUGCGGUGAAUACGUUCCCGGGCCUUGUACACACCGCCCGU